Molecule: non-coding RNA, 82 nt
Filed under: bovine gut metagenome
Description: TPP riboswitch (THI element)
Rfam family: TPP riboswitch aptamer (THI element) (bases 3-75)
About the family: Vitamin B(1) in its active form thiamin pyrophosphate (TPP) is an essential coenzyme that is synthesised by coupling of pyrimidine and thiazole moieties in bacteria. The previously detected thiamin-regulatory element, thi box was extended, resulting in a new, highly conserved RNA secondary structure, the THI element, which is widely distributed in eubacteria and also occurs in some archaea.
Source: RNAcentral
CAUAGGGGUGCUACAAAGCGUUGUGGCUGAGAACAUACCCUAAAAACUUGAUCGGGAUAAUGCCCGCGUAAGGAACGAAUUA